CAUAAUCUUAAUCGUCACAGUGUCAGGGAGGUGGGGCUGAUGCUAGAAAGAACAGCACACGGAGUUUCCAGAAAGGUCAGCUGUACUCUCAGUUCAUCCCGUACAAGAGAGGGGGUGAGUAGGAGGCGAAUAGCAACACAGGACAUCAGACAUGGAAAUAGCAGAGAAGGUCCUGAGCAUAGCCCAGGUCAUCUACACCCAGUGUGAACAUGUGAAGUACUGUCAGUCCCAGUGCAAACGCCUCAGGGACCGCAUUCAAACCCUAAUGAGACCUAUAAUGACUCUCAAGGCGCAGACUCCACAACAAAUCUCCCCUCAAGUAGAAAAGACCCUGAAGGGACUGUUGAAGACUUUGGAGAAGGCCCAGGAGCUGGUGACAAAGUACAGCCAGAAGACAUGGCUACAGAAGUUCUUUCAAGCCAGUGAUAUUAAAGAAGAGUUCAUGCAGGUGAAUGUGUGUCUUGGAGAUGCUGCUCAAGGGCUCUCACUCCUACUGCAGGCUGAGCAGCAGCAGUCCUUCCUAAAGGUCUUCCAGCAAGACACCUGCAACAAGGAGGAUGACAAGGACAUCAAGGCCGAUAAGGCCUUCUUGGAAGAGCUGCUUGCAAGCAGCAAAGAAACAAGAGAUGCAGUGGAUGAUGUCCAUAACAGUGUGAAAAAUAUGGAUGGCAAGGUGGAAGAACUUACCCAAAUGGUGAAAAUGUUUGUAGAAGAAUCAAGCAUGAAACAAGACAACACAGUUCCAAGAAAGGAAGUAGUUGAGAUUAUGAUAGAGAAUCUAAUUAAGACCCCAUGGACCCUCCUGACGGAAACCAGAAGCCAUGUGAUUUACAAAGGAGAGUACCACAAAUGCCCUGUUGCCAUCAAAGUCUUCCAAAAUCCAGUAAUCACCUGUGCCAUGACAGUGAGGGACAUUUUCAAGAAGGAGAUUGAAACCAUGAAGAUCUUUGAAUCUCCAAACAUCCUCCGUAUGUAUGGAAUAUGCAUUGAUGAGAGAGAGUCAAGACCUCAUUUCUCUAUUGUUAUGGAGUAUUGUAGAUAUGGGACCUUGAGAGAGGUCUUAACAAAAAACCCUGAGCUCUCCUGGGAUGAUCGCAUUCAGAUGGCACUGGAUGUAGCCAGAGGUAUCUACAGGUUGCAUCAUACAGAGGUGAAGCCUAGAUUGCAUGGAAGUAUCAGUAGCAUCAAGUUCCUUGUUGCUGAAGGUUACUGUGUGAAGAAGGAUGUCAUGAUCUCCAAAGUAACAACUCAGGCACCCACCGUUUCAUUGUUACCUACAGAAACAGCAUUGUGUAUUUGCACGUGUGAAUUAUGUAAUUCACAUUACAUAAUUACAUAAUACACAGCUGCACGUUUACACAGCACUGUCCUCUUCAAGCCUUCGUGCCACAUCCUCUCCCAGGACAGUCAUCCAGAAGAGUGUCUUUUGUUAGUUAUUUAAUUAUGGUGACAUUAAAUUAAGUCCAUUUUACACAACUCCCAAAUUUGAUGUAUGUACAAUCUUGUACUGAAAAUAUACUGCUCCAUCUCUCAUACUGUAAGGAUUUCCUGCUGGCUUUGUGAGGAAUAUCUGGUGUGUGUCUUUGAAAAUCAGAUCAGUGUCUUAUUGAUUAUUACUACUAAUAAUUUGUACAGUAGAACCUGAAUCAUUCACAAAUGGGUGGUUUGUAGCCCACUUGAUAAAUAGCAGGUUGCCAAAUUAAAAAUGAAAUACUCAGCUGUUUGUGGUAGCUUUUAUGCCAAAGGCAGGGCACCACUUCUCCAAUCAGCUGAAGCUCUUCAGUGGUCUGACACAACUAAUCAGAAAGUGAAUGUUUCAGAAAAAAAUGCUAGAGCACCUCAGCAGCCCCCUGCAGAUGUUUAUAUGCCUGGUUACUUUGUAAACGCUCAUCUUUGAUGGGGAUGGAGAGAGAUAACAGUGUUUAUGAACCUAAUCCUGUGAAGGAUCCAGGUUCUACUGUAUUACCAUAACGAGUGGGCCUCAGGACCCCACUGUAUUAUGUGCUGUACAAACAUGAAACCUAAAAGUUGUCCUUGUUCCAAACUUAGACUUAGUUGUCUAAAAAAUGGAUAUAGGUUCCUAUCUUUAAAAUCCCACAUUUCCACAUGUUGGUUUCAGUGAGUGUAUUUCUAUCAGCUGUUGUUUGCUGCCAUGCAUAAAUGUGACUGCUUGUACAGGGAUAACACACAGUAAAUUAUAUAUUGUCAUAAAUAAGGUAAGAAGGAAAACAAGCAGAAGGGAGUGUUGAGACAGGUUUUGAAUAACAACGUGGAAUUUUAAACAGAGUGAGAAGCCAUCUAGUAUCCAUCAUCCCUGACAACAAAGCCCAGUAGGAAAGCCCAGUCCAAAUAGGCCCAGUAGGAAAAACUGUUAAUAGACAGAGCUCAGUGGUGUGAAUAAUGUUUGGAAAUGCUGAAUUAGUGCAAAACACAGUGAUGUCAGUCAGGUAGAGUACCUUAACCCCUCUUUCCAGGGAUUUAUCAAUUUUCUCUGCAUCCUGAAGGAUCCUCACCCUCACCUCCUUACUCUUAUACAUACUGGGCAUGUCUACACAUGAACCGUUACUGCACAGUAACCAAAAAUUACUGCAUGGUACGGGUGCGCAUCUACACGUGUGUGCCCGUAACGCGCAUAACUAUGGCGACUUAUGCUGAUUUGGGCAUAAAUUUGCUACCUGCAUGAUGCAGGUAGCAAAUUUAUGCCUAAGUAGUUACUGCACAGUAAGGCACAUGUAGACGCUUUACUGUGCAGUAACCCUGUUUGUGUGGACUUACAUGGCACUAACUUUAGUCCCAAGUCAGUCCACACACAGCAUUACUAUGCUGUAACGUGUAGAUGCCAAGCAUAAAAGCUGCUUUUAUAUGUGUAUAAUACAUGUGUAGACAUGCCCACUGACUCCUUUAAGUGAUAAAAGGCUUGGAAGGUAAGUCAUAUGAAGUGAAGUUGAAAGAAAUAGGCAUGUUCAGCUUGUGGAAAAAGUAAGAGGGGAAGUUAUUUAAAUCUUUAAAUAUUUGAAAGGGUAUGUAACAGGGGACCUGAGCCCUGUUACUCAGUCAAAGGAGUGAAGAGAGAGGAGGUCUUAAUCAGAGUACCCAAUGCCUGUGUGAAAGCAAGGGGGAACUCUGACUGAUGACAGCAAAGGGAGAACUGAGAAUAACUCCAGAGAGAGAAAGACAGAGAUUGUAGCAGUCAUUUCUGGCUGAAAGGGCCCAUGCCAGCCAGUGUCCUAUUGCUUUAAGCAGACCAAGCAGCAGGAGCACGGGUGGCCCUUUGACUGACAGCCCCUGUGGAGUGGGGAGGACAGAGCAAGGGAUUGGAAGGGAGAGGGGCUCCAUACACAUAAGCCCUGCCCCCAAAGCUGGAGCUAGCAGUGAGGCUCUGCGGCUGGCAGGGGAAGCAGCUCUCCAAGGAGGGCAGCAGCCCAACAGCCUUUUGCUUUCUUCUGAUACUUGUUUACAAGGUGUGGGAAGACUGUUGUUAAAGUGAUAGCUCACUUGCUUUCGAUGUACUGUUUACCCAGAGUGGGAAGGGUUUUUUGUUAAAGCAAUGGGUUGCCUUUGUUAGAGUUGACCGGUAGACAGGAGUGACUAUAAGGAGUGAAUGAGGAGACCAUAGUGGGGUGCUGGCUGGGCACAGCCAAGCUUAGAACCCUGCCAGGGAAGGGUGUAAGCCAGAGAGGGGUGAAACCAGGGCCAUUGUCCCAGAAUCUGUGUGUCCCAGAAUCAUAAGAUGGGACCCGGUGCCAUGGGCCUGAGCUAAAGGAGCCCAACUAGAAAAAAGGGGGCAGAGACCAGAAAGGUGAAGACUCUGACAAAAGCUUGGAGGCCUGGGGAGACCAGAGAGUGUACUGAGGCAAGGUGCCUCAUGAUGAGCAAUAACUGGUAGCACCUGCAAAGCAUGGGCCUGGGUGUAAGAGCCCUUGUGGCAAGUAGGAUCUAAGGAAAUGACCACAGGGAAAAAGAAAAGAGAUCAUCGUAGACUCACCAGCCUCCUCCCCUCAUUACAAGUAACAAAAAAGCAUGGUAGGUGAGGAAGCAGGGCAAGAUCCCAGGAGGCAAGAGCAAGAGCCAGACAGGACUGAGGUGGCCACUAGGGGGCAUCACAGUAAUGCCAGGCACCUUACCUAUUACAGGGUACCAUAAAGAAGAGGGAGAAUACCUUUUCUCUAUCACUGCAGAUUAAGAUGUGUAGCAAUGGCUUGAAGUUGCCAAAGUAGGCCCAGAGCAGCUGAAAAUUGGAAGGACCAUGCUCAGCAUCAAGAGAAUGAAACAGAGGUCCACAACCAGCUUGGUUACAAAGAAGAUUAAAAGAGCCUGAAUAAGUUUAUGGAGUAGAAAGGAUUACAGAAAGGGAAGUUUUGGCUCACCAGCUAGGGAGUGUGAUGUGUGGAGUUGUUUGCUAUCCCCAGAUUGCAGAGUAGAGUGGAGUCUAUUUGGUUUUUCCAUAGUUCUGAAUUUUGCUGGCUGUUACAUGAAGCUGGGAAGGAUUUUCCCCCCUUCCUGUUCCUACAGCAGUCACAGGUAUUUUCUGGCAUCCUCAGAAGCAUUGUAUGGCUGGCUGCAGCCAAGACUGAAGUCAAGACUGGGUGUGCCAACAAUCCUUCUGGGACUGAAACUCGGAGGCUUCUGGUAAGAGGGUUGUGACAAAAAUAUAACCCCAGAAAGGAACUUACCUGGGGAAGAAAAUGAGCAGAGCUGGUGCAAGGCCACGCUGAGCCGAGGAAGCAGCGGGCAUGGAGCUGUGGCCGGAGACAGCACUGUGCCAGAAGAAAAAGCCCCCCAAAAAACAGCUGAUCCAGGAGAAGCCAGGAUUGACUUCUGUGCCGGCGUAGGCGUGCUUUAUGGCCAUGUGCCAGUGCCGAUUCGCUGGCUGGCCCACGGAACAGGGAAUAAAAACCCCUCGGGAUGGGAAGCCCAGGGGACUGGAAGUGGGUUCCCUUGCAGGUACCCAAUGACCCAGAGCAGAGCCAUGCCCCACUGAGGGAAAGUGGUGGCAGCCCUAAGAGGGGGUUUCUGGAGAUUUUUCAAGCCCAGAAAGACAGUAUUACUUACCUGAGGCAGAGCCGUGGAUUCCUGUUGUCUCUUGAACGGAUUGGGUUCACCAGUAACCUGCAGAGAGAUGGAGAGACAGCUGUCCAUGCCACCGCAAUGACAGAGUAAGGAAAAUGGAACUGACACUGGGAGUCAAGGUAACCCAGGGCUGGGAGGAGACGAGGUCAGGCCCACUGAGGCAAAAGCUGAGUGAGGCUAACUGACGUCCAUACAUGUUUAUACAGUUUCAAACAGUCAAGACACAUGUACCAACACCGUGACCAACCCCAGAAGACCGGGAUUCAACAUCAUUGGUUGGCAUUAGGUGGGGUGUAGGAGAGGCGGAGCCCCGAAAUGGGAAGACUGAUGGGAGGAUUGAAGGAGGGGACCAGGAGGUACAGAACAUACAUCUUCCUCCCUACUAAAUACAUUUAUUCCAGCAAAAACAUGGCAGGCGAGAACCACUGAGGACCCUCUGGAAUCCGACUCGAUAAUUGACCAUCUUUCCUGCGGACAAUGGUGACAUCCGAUAAACCGGUACGCACCAGACAUUCUGGUGAAUGGCACGGCUGAUUACAAGGGUCUUGCCCCUCCACUUAGAGUCAGAGUUAUCACGACAUUUGAGACCAGGAAAGAAUUUCAUCUCACAGCCAGAUUGGCAUGGACUAUGGGGAGCUUUGCCUUCCUCUGUAGCAAGGGGCCUAGUCCUCUUCCUUGGAGCUCUUAAGCAUAUUUUAACAGUCCUUACAGCAAUGGGAUAUGCACAAUGCCUUCAUUCCCCUGCUCUACCUGAGGCAGCUGUCAGGAUUUGAGUUAUGUAAAACAGAGUCCUCCAUCAAACGGAACUACAAAGAAAAGAAAUCAAGACAAGUCUCUCCCUCGGCCUAUACCUCCCCUCAGGGCCUGGCCUCAUUGAGCCACAUCUAUGACUUGC
This is an RNA transcript of Alligator sinensis (Chinese alligator), 5965 nucleotides long. It is a transcript of the gene named mixed lineage kinase domain like pseudokinase, with no coding region annotated. The record is from RefSeq and is a predicted model, not a curated record. The transcript is spliced from 9 exons. NCBI's taxonomy places the organism in Eukaryota, Metazoa, Chordata, Crocodylia, Alligatoridae.